Molecule: ribosomal RNA, 489 nt
Filed under: uncultured bacterium
Lineage: Bacteria
Description: partial 16S ribosomal RNA
Rfam family: Bacterial small subunit ribosomal RNA
Source: RNAcentral
UUGAACGCUGGCGGCAUGCUUUACACAUGCAAGUCGAACGGCAGCGGGGUAGUGCUUGCACUACUGCCGGCGAGUGGCGAACGGGUGAGUAAUAUAUCGGAACGUACCGAGUAAUGGGGGAUAACCAAUCGAAAGAUUGGCUAAUACCGCAUACGUCCUGAGGGAGAAAGCGGGGGAUCGCAAGACCUCGCGUUAUUCGAGCGGCCGAUAACUGAUUAGCUAGUUGGUGGGGUAAAGGCCUACCAAGGCGACGAUCAGUAGCGGGUCUGAGAGGACGAUCCGCCACACUGGGACUGAGACACGGCCCAGACUCCUACGGGAGGCAGCAGUGGGGAAUUUUGGACAAUGGGGGCAACCCUGAUCCAGCCAUGCCGCGUGUAUGAAGAAGGCCUUCGGGUUGUAAAGUACUUUUGUUAGGGAAGAAAAGGGAAGUGCUAAUACCACUUUUUGCUGACGGUACCUAAAGAAUAAGCACCGGCUAACUACGUG